Molecule: ribosomal RNA, 253 nt
Filed under: uncultured bacterium
Lineage: Bacteria
Description: partial 16S ribosomal RNA
Rfam family: Bacterial small subunit ribosomal RNA
Source: RNAcentral
UACGGAGGGGGCGAGCGUUAAUCGGAAUCACUGGGCGUAAAGCGCACGUAGGCGGCCUAUCAAGUCGGAUGUGAAAGCCCUCGGCUCAACCGGGGAACUGCAUUCGAAACUGACAGGCUGGAGUCUCGGAGAGGGUGGCGGAAUUCCCGGUGUAGGAGUGAAAUCCGUAGAUAUCGGGAGGAACACCAGUGGCGAAGGCGGCCACCUGGACGAUGACUGACGCUGAGGUGCGAAAGCGUGGGUAGCAAACAGG